RNAcentral lists this ribosomal RNA (388 nucleotides) under uncultured soil bacterium. RNAcentral's name for it is "bacterial SSU rRNA". It matches the Rfam family "Bacterial small subunit ribosomal RNA", at positions 26 to 402 of the family's 1533-position model. The record is from RNAcentral.
AGAGUGAACGCUGGCGGUAGGCCUAACACAUGCAGGUCGAACGGCAGCACAGUAGGAGCUUGCUCUUACGGGUGGCGAGUGGCGGACGGGUGAGGAAUACAUCGGAAUCUACCUUUUGGUGGGGGAUAACGUAGGGAAACUUACGCUAAUACCGCAUACGCCCUUCGGGGGAAAGCCGGGGACCAGCAAUGGCCUGGUGCUGAUAGAUGAGCCGAUGUCGGAUUAGCUAGUUGGUGAGGUAAUGGCUCACCAAGGCGACGAUCCGUAGCUGGUCUGAGAGGAUGAUCAGCCACACUGGAACUGAGACACGGUCCAGACUCCGUACGGGAGCAGCGAGUGGGGAAUAGUUGGACAAGUGGGCGCAAGCCUGAUCCAGCCAUACCGGCGU